GCCCAGACUCCUACGGGAGGCAGCAGUGGGGAAUAUUGCACAAUGGGGGGAACCCUGAUGCAGCGACGCCGCGUGGGCGAGGAAGUAUUUCGGUAUGUAAAGCCCUAUCGGCAGGGAAGAAGAAAUGACGGUACCUGAAUAAGAAGCACCGGCUAAAUACGUGCCAGCAGCCGCGGGAAUACGUAUGGUGCAAGCGUUAUCCGGAUUUACUGGGUGUAAAGGGAGCGUAGACGGCAGUGCAAGUCUGGAGUGAAAGGCGGGGGCUCAACCCCCGGACUGCUCUGGAAACUGUACGGCUGGAGUGCAGGAGAGGUAAGUGGAAUUCCUAGUGUAGCGGUGAAAUGCGUAGAUAUUAGGAGGAACACCAGUGGCGAAGGCGGCUUGCUGGACGAUGACUGACGUUGAGGCUCGAAAGCGUGGGGAGCAAACAGGAUUAGAUACCCUUGUA
This 448-nucleotide ribosomal RNA is filed under the name uncultured bacterium. Its description in RNAcentral is "bacterial SSU rRNA". It matches the Rfam family "Bacterial small subunit ribosomal RNA", at positions 329 to 792 of the family's 1533-position model. The record is from RNAcentral.